GUCUACGGAGGCUAAUUCUCUUUCCCUUGGUUUUGGCCGCUUUCCUGCAUUUCUGACUCCUGUGGGAAAAGUUUACUAGCUAACCUGAGCCACUCGUUUGAGAAUUUCUGUUCUAUUUCACAACUCUACCUUCCUAUCUUCAGGGUUUUGUUUCGCCUCCUGUCUGUCUACUUACCAGAAGAUUUCAAUUGUAGUGCAUAUUUACAGGUUUGGUGAAUCCGUUUUUUUUCCCCCUCUCUGGAACUUUAUAGGAUUUAGUUGAAUGGGGGUGAGGGGGGUGACAGGGGAUGAUGACAUUGUUCAAGCCUUCUGUUUUCGGAAUGAAAGCAAGAGGUAGAGAAAGAGGAAGUAACUUGCUCAGAAAGAUGGUCUUCUGAGCUCGGUGUCAGGCUUUCCCCAGGGUGAGUUCCUGUGAGCAUGGUUGCACCUUUCCUCCUCUGUGGGGUCUUGCCCGCAUUUGUUAAGUAGCAGUCAUUAGGGAAGCCUCCUCCUCUGGGGAGAGCUGUUCUGAGUUGCCUGGCUGUUGUUGGCUGGGAUCAUGUUCUUGCUGAGCUAAUUUGAGAAUACAGAGAUGAACCAGGCAGACUUGAUGAGCCUCUUUGCCUUACUAUGUUUAUGCACUUUUUUAAACCUCAUCCUACAGAUCACAGGUAUUUACACGCAGGCCUUUUUUUUUCUUUCUACUGAGUACAAGCAGUCUGAGGAAGCAAUGUGUUUGAAGAGCAAACCACUUCUGUCUCUAAAUUCUGAUUUAAAAGCACUCAGACUUCUAAGCCAGAAGGCACACUUUGAUAGGGGUCCUUCUUGAUAACUAAGGGGCUAGAGUGUUCUUUCAUAUGAAAUUAGGCUACAAGAGCUAAAUAUGGAGGCGCUGACACCUUUUAGAUCUUAUAAGCCUUUAUAGGAUUAAGAACUGACAUUGUAUAAUUAAGCUAGCAUUUUUAAAAGUCCCAUUACAGACUACCAUCACUUUCCUAAAUUUCUACAGUCUGUCAUUCUUGAAACAUUAAACAUUUUACUAAAUGAUCUAUAUUGUAGAUGUAAAUGUGGGAUCUGAGAAUUUCUUUGAUGGACAUAAUCAAAGUAGAAUACUUACUUAUUAGAAAAAAUUUAAGCAGCCUUUCUAAAAUCAAUGAUAAAUAAAAAUUGUGGGUCACUUUGGAUUAAUGAAUACAUCCUGAUAUUAGGAAAUGAAGAUUUAGAGAGUCAAAUCACUUGUUAAAUGUCAUUGCCAGUUAGGGAGAAUCAGCAAGAAACAUGUGCAGUUUGCGUGCCCCAAAAUUCAGUAUAUGUUGAAUGAUAAGAGAUAACAUGAGUUUCUAAGUACUUGUCCUUGGCCUUCCACAACCAUAGGGAGGACUGAGAGGCAGCACUGCAGAGUGUGAUUCCUGAAGUGUAGUUCCACGGCCAGUUUAUGAGAAAUGCAAAUCCCUGAGUCUUACCUUAUACCUCUGCCAAACCAGAUAGUGUUGAGGUAAAUUCCAGCAGUAUAUUUUCAAAGUAUUUUAGAUGAUACAAAAUCAAUUUGAGGUUUAGGGAAUACCACACACAGCACAAGCUGUUGUAGAUCUGGUAUUGCAUCUCCUCCACUUCCUCCUCCCCCCUCCUUGUUUAAUCUAUAAAAUGUACAUAAUUACACCUCCUAUUUCUAUCUCACCUGGUUUACAGUGACUAAGUGAGUCAGUGAUAGAUAUCUUCAGGUAUCACACAUUUGCCACAGUAUAUAUUUAUGUAUUUAUGGUUUUAGGACUGUUUUUCUUCUUUCUUAAGCUUUUUUUUGUUACACUUACAUGUUGAUUUUGAGUAUGGAGGAGAUACUUAUAGGAUGGAGUCAAUUCUAUCCUUCUACUGCAUGGGUCCCAAGGCUUAAAUUUAUAUAUUCAGGUUUGGUGGCAAGCACUUUUAUCCAGUGUUAUUAGAGUUUUACUGCUGUGAACAGACACCAUGACCAACCAAGGCAACUCUUAUAAGGACAAAAUUCAAUUGGAGCUGGCUUACAGGUUCAGAGGUUUAGUCCAUAAUCAUCUAGGCAGGAACAUGGCAGCAUCCAGGCAAGUAUGGUACAGGAGUAGCUGACAGUUCUACAUUUUCAUCUGAAGGCUACUAGCAGAAGACCAACCCACAGACAACUAGGGUCUUAAAGCCAACAUCCACAGUGACAGACUUACUCCAACAAGGCCACAUCUUCUAAUAGUGCCACUCCCUGUGCCAAGCCUAUACAAGACAUCACACUAUAUAAAUUUCUAUUAGACAUCGUCAUGGUGGUAAGUAGACCUCUAAAUCCUAGUUUCCAAAAUAACUCCCAACAUGCAAUUAAUUCUCCCCAUAUUUGUUAAAAGAAUGAAUAAUAAUGAUAUUUGGCAUCAUGAUUCCAUAAUCUCUGCCUUGUGAAUGAAUGUGAAAAGCAUCGUACUUGAAUUCACAUCCAAAUAAAAGAACUUAGAGGCAGAGAGAACAUGGGACAUAUCAACUCUAGUUGUGGGAUUUGGUGUUACAAAUCGUUCUGGCAUUGGUGAUAAUAACAAUAUUAAAUUUGUAUUUAGUGUGUUAAUUUUACUAAGGCAAUAUACCAGCCUAUUUAAUAAAAAGCACCAAAGCAAUAAACACAGGCCAUUCUAUAUAAUAAGUAUGGUAUAAUUCUACAAGGUAGCUAUUUUGGAAUUUGAUCUUAUUCUUAGUAAAGUUGAGGCUUAAAUGACUUACCUGAGACUAAUGUCUACAAAACAAAAAGCAUGUAUAGAAACAAAAAAGGGAACAUGUAUAGACAGAGCCAAGACAAGGCAGGCAAAGAAGGUAGGACUUAGAAUUGGAAGGGAGGUGCUCAUAAGGAGAGGUCUGAGGUAAUCACAGUCAGUCCAGCAAGGAAUUUGGUUUCCAGAAUAGCCCAUACAGAAGUGCAGUUUGCGCAGAAAUGGUCAAUCUCUGACAUGGGAGCUGUACUUUCAGUGGCUGGUUUGACUAGGAAACUGAGAUGGAUCCUGGAGUCCUGAAGUGAGCACAACCCCAGUAGGUGCUUUUUAAAAAAAGUGGAGUCACUGUGUGUGGCCCCUGUGGUGUCACUCUGGAGAGACAUGUCCAAAAUUAUCCUCAGCAAUAAAAAAGCAGUAACAGUUUAUUGGGCACUUAUAAUGUCCUGCCUGGGUUUGGUACUUUGUUUCUAUCCUUAUUGCUACAUAGCUUUUAAAAACUCCACAUCCUGCUGCAUUCGUGUGGUUCCUUCUAAUGGUAUGAUUGACUUUUCUUCCACACUUCAUGCUUUUGUACUAUAGAAUUCUAUUAAUCUUGUAUGUCAAGAUUUAUCACAAAGAUCAGCCGAUAUCUUCCCAUUCAUUUCCUCAACAAACUAGAUGAAAGAACAGAAGGCAGAAGGAGAGAAUCAUAAACAGUCACCUGAUCUGAACAGCCUAAAGAUAGUUCCUGAAGGCUAUCUUUGUAAUGCUUCCUGCUCAGUUAGCUGGACUGCUGAUUAUUUCUAAAACUCUUCUCAGAGUGCCCUUGCUUCCCUCCUCCCUUCUUUCUUGUGAUGAGACCACACUAUGUAGCUUUGGGUGGCCUGGAACUCAAGCUCACCACGUAAACCAGGAUGGCCUGCUACUCAUAGACAUUUGUCUGCCUCUGCUUCGCAAGUUCUAGAAUCAAAGGAGUGCCGUCAUGUUCAUCUUCAAGAAAACUCCAAGAUAACACUUCAUCGACUAUGAAUGGGAAAUGGGUUUUUGUUUUCUUAAAACAUUCAGCAUCAAUGGCAAUAACAUGAAAUAGAACUGGACAUGUUGGGUAGGAUCCCCAAGCAUCAACUCUGAGAAUGUCCUUGGUAGAGGCCAGAAGAGCUCCUGGUCUUUCUGUCUUCAUCUACACAAUGAGCACCUCUGCCUAGAGACUGCACUUAACUAUAUGACUAUGUGACUGCUGGCUGAAACCAACAAAAGGCCCCUGAACACUUGGUUGGACCAACAGGACUGACCAGCUAAUCCCCCUUAACCUCACUUCUGUUUCUGUCAUAAGCCCUUGAUAAAGCUCCACUAAACUAGCAGUUCAGUGGUACUCUAUGUCCUGGGAACCACACUUCUCCAUCUCCUUGUUUUGUUUUGUUUUUUUUCUUUUUUCCUUUGUUUUGUUCCCACCUAUAAAUCUAUAAAAAACUUCUCUCUAAACCUGGUCCUCUAUGGUCCAUGCAUUUCAUUCUUCAAAUUAUUGAAACAAGAACCUGAAAAACACUGGCUUAGGGGAGUUUCCAGACACCUAGCCACACCUGCCUCACCUUCCCCUACAGCUAGCCCCACUCAAGUGCGAGAGAAGCUUUGCACUUUUCAAAGGCUUGCAGUAUCCUCCUAUCAAUAACAAUAAAAUGAAGUCACCGGGUGACAUACUUUUUUCAAAGCCAGCAGUGUGUCUCAUCACAGUAGUGACGCAUCCUGAGGCAAGCGCCAUCGAGUUGUUGGCAAAUAUCAUGGAAUAUUUUCAUAAAAACUCUGUUUAUCUAGCCAGAUGUUUCCAACCACCCUGACACGUUGAUCCUUUAAAGUUCCUCAUGUUGAGGUGACCCCUUACUAUAAGUUAUUUUUGUUACCGUCUUGAAUUUUGUUACUGUUGUGAAUUGUAAUGCAGAUAUCUGAUAUGCAGGAUACAUAAUAUGUUACCCUUAUGAAAAGGUCAUUGAAUCCCAAAAGGGUUGUGACCUACUGGUUAAGAACCUCUGAUCUAGACCAAUGACUCUAUAUAAUCUUCUGCUUCAAUGAAGAGACAUAGUAAAUACAAGUUUGACAAAGCUGUUGCACUACUAACAUGGUUGAUAUAGUACGCUAUUUACAGUAAUCCUCCCUUAGUAAUAAUUGGAAGACUUGCCUUGGAUGCAGUGUGUGGCCACAGUGUCCCGGAUCUAGAAUGCCAGCACUUGAAAGGCUAAGACUAAAGGAUGAAGACAUCAUAGCCACUUUGGAUUACAACUCAGACAUCAUCAUAAAAACAAAAAGACAGGUGUUUGCUCUCAGUACUAAAUAGCAUUGCCAUGUGAUUCAUAAACUUGCUUUUACAUGACUGGCAGCAGUGUUUACUUAUUGUAGCCCCUCCCCAUAAACGCAUGAAUAAUAUACUGGGAGAAUAGCUUAGCUACAAUAACUUUCUAUCUGACAUCCUGUGAAGGAACCUGUCUCAAAAUUGUGUAUCCUUGCUUACAAGAUAGCAGAGAUAGGCCAGCAGAGAACACAGCAUGAAUCUAAUAAUGGAAGACCACAGAGCACACACUCCCUGUUAGUUCUGUCUUGCUUGCUUCAUUUUUGACUAUAAAGUAUGAAGUAUCUACAGUUUUAUUCAGAUAAUGUACGAAAAGAUACCUUUGAAUUUGGUAGAAUCGUGAGCAUGUCAUUUUAAAGAAAUAUUCUUCAUAUUUUAGUAGAUUAAGUAGUAUAUAAUGUAGCCACCUUUUAGGUCAAUCUGAGAGUAAUCUUCUGAUGACAGAUUAGAAAACAGAAGCUUAGAAAAGUAAGUGAUUUUUCUGUGGGUUCGCGACUGGCAACUAUAAAAAUAAUAACGAAAUGAGGGCAUGAGGUUUUAAAUUCGAACUCUAGAAUGCAAUGAAGAAAGUGAGGCUUCUCUAAUGACUAAUGCAGUCGAAUACAAAAGAAGAGAAACAGGUUUUCCAAGUGAGCUGUUCAGACUGGAAGCAGCUGAGCUGUGAAGUGCUGAGCUAAUGUCAAUUAUGACCCCGCUCCCAGUCCACUAUCUGCAUGGACUGCAUCAGCCUGGGCCUUUGAAUCAACACUUUAAGAAGCAUCUAUUCCAUCAAGAGUCAGAUUUUCCCAUGGGUCACCGAACCUGAUGACCUCCUUGGCUGAGCAUGCGCCUUGUCCAAUGUACCAUCAUCACUUCUUGCUGUUACCCACAGCAACUACUUCCUAUGCUCACUAACUAGUCUUUGAACUGAUGCACAACACAAGACCUCAUAUUUCCAGCCCCUGUGUCUCCCUGCCCCUUUCUCAUCCGAUCUGCAGUGUACCCUAGAGAUCUUUACCACCCAUUUUUUUCCUUUAUCAAGUAACUCCCCUGUUUAAAACACCUCACUCAGUUGUUUUUGGCUUUGGUUUUUGGUUUUUUGUUUUUAAAUCAUUUUGGAACAAACUCCUAUGAUCCCUCUGUGUCUGACCUCACUAACCCUUUGUUCCUCUGGUUGCUCAUUGUCUUAAAACAUUUGACAAUCAAGCUGUCCAGAUCCCUUUUCUCUUUCUUAUCUUCCUGUCUUUCUGUCUUCUCUGCCUGAAAUAUUUCAACAUGUUUUUAAUGACAGCUCAUUUGCACUGCUUGGGAAAUUUUUAUUGUAAAUAAUUUACUUCCUCAGUGGCUCCUCCUUAAAUGGCUGCUAGUUAACUUUAUUACUUUAUCUGUAAAUAUUUCUUAAAGCCACGUGUAAUUAAUUUCCCUGCUCUCCUGAAACAGAAACACCAAGCUACCUGAGAUUUGAUUGUCUCAUCGAGAGAUCUCCAGUAUUAUUAAAUGUCAAUUGAAAGAAUACCACUUUACUCUCCGGAUUUCAGAAUCAGACAAAUUCAUCCAGCAUAAGAGAGAAGUUGUAAAAGUUGACCCUACACUACUUAACAAAGAAGACUUUCGUGAAAAAAACCAUUGGGCAAUAGGACAGCUAAGCUAUGUGUCAUCGUUUUACUUUCAAAGCUUUGCAGUUUAGGUUGGCUUCCUUUUAUUGUUAUAAGCAAUGCCAGGAUGAAAAGAUAAAUUCAACCAAGUGAAUUCUGAAACAGCAGAAUUACAUCUUUACAAGAAGAGACCAGAACCAAGCUAGCUGGCCUACAGUGGCAAAAGUGAAGGUCAAGUCCCCAAAUGCAGAAAAUUCUUUCCUUUUCAGAAUCAGAUCCCUUCCUCAGUUAAUGACAUGAUUUUAGGAAACCUAUGUUCCAGGGAGAGACAGUGAAGAAUAUCCUCCGUCUCGUACACUGGCUGAGGCCGUUCCUGCUUUAACCUGAAUCUGAUCUCCUUGAUAGAAUAUGCUGGUGGAAAACUACCCAACCCUGUUCUAGGAACCAAAGGUCACGAUGUCCGAGCCAACUUAAGCCUUGCCUUUGUUCAAACUGUUUGUGUGGAACUCCCUCCAGUGAACCCCUUAUCUUACUUUCUAUUAAAACUGCUUGCCUCAAACUGUUUACUUCUGCAAAGCCCCCCUGCAGCUGCUGAGUCAGAGGCCAAGACAGUCUCUGCUAGUACAAACCCAGAGUUCUAGAGACUCAGAUCCCCAAACUGGGGUAGGAUCCCAGACUGCUAGAUAAAAUAAAGACUUUUAAUUGGCUAUACACUGUGUCUGAGUGGUCAUCUCUGGUAAGUUCCCCCUAGCAUUUCUGACUCAUACAGGGAGCACAGUAACAACACGUGCCUUAUCGGUGAACUAAGAACAGAGAAACUGAAUUAAAAAUGAGAGCAGUAGGGCAGGAGAGAUGACUCAGUGGAGCAAUUGCUAGACCCACAGAAGGCAGCUCACAGUCGCCUUUCGCUACAGUUCCAGGGUAUCUGACACUGACUUCUGGCCUCUGCAGGACCUGUAA
This is a long non-coding RNA of Rattus norvegicus (Norway rat), 7544 nucleotides long. RefSeq lists it as uncharacterized. Lineage: Eukaryota; Metazoa; Chordata; Mammalia; Rodentia; Muridae. The record is from RefSeq and is a predicted model, not a curated record.